GGCCCAGCAUAGUAUAGUGGUUUGAGCACUGGAUUGUGACUCUGGAGCCCAGGAUUCAAAUUCCUGCUCAGCCA
This is a non-coding RNA of Phrynosoma platyrhinos (Desert horned lizard), 74 nucleotides long. The record is from the annotation of a GenBank genome assembly. NCBI's taxonomy places the organism in Eukaryota, Metazoa, Chordata, Lepidosauria, Squamata, Phrynosomatidae.